RNAcentral lists this long non-coding RNA (222 nucleotides) under Nicotiana benthamiana. RNAcentral's name for it is "long non-coding RNA (NBEN_LNC038671)". Lineage: Eukaryota; Viridiplantae; Streptophyta; Magnoliopsida; Solanales; Solanaceae. The record is from RNAcentral.
AUCAGCCUCCUCAGAAUCACUACAAUCACCACCCUCCACAAAAUAAUUAUCGUCCUGGGGAGCUACCCAGGAGACAGAACUUCACUCCCAUAGGAGAAUCUUACGCCAUCCUGUUCCCAAAGAUGGUCCACAUGGGUCUCCUGUAGCAUGUGCCCCCAAACAAACAAAAUCCUGAAUCACCUUCUUAUCAGAGGGGCGUAGCAUUGUACUUACCACUCUGUG